UUCACUUCUAAUGCCAUGUCUUCUCUUAAAAGAAUUUAAUUAAUAUUCUCCCUUUCAUUAUUAAGCUGGUGUACUCCUGGUGUGCUAGUAAUAGUAACCCUGUCUAUUUCAGAGAACAGACUAAGUUGGGUCCUCUAGGUAAGGGUACACCUUUAAUUUCGGAGAACUGAAUGAAUACAUUUUCAGUAAAGAAAAAGCUGUCCCUAGAAAGAAUUGAGACAAUAAAUGAAUUUAAAAAUGUGUGUCUGACAUAAAAACAGUUGUCCUAAUGAAUCAACACAUGCAAAAUCCUUAUGCCCCAAAAUUAUAGCUAGUUUCUAUAACGCUGGUCCUGCUGGGGCUACAGAGGAUUAAGGACAAGUCAGUAAAAAGCUGUCUAUCUGUCUAGAAAGAACUGACUUACUGUUACACUUUGAAGGAGUCUAGAAAACAAAAUCAAGAUGAUGCAAACUCAAAAGUACCCUGGAUCGUCCCAGGGUAAAUUAAAGAAUGUGUUAUCUCAGAUAACUGGGGAAAAAACAAGUGUGCUAGCAUUUUUUGGCUGAUAAAACAGAAGGCAAAAAAAAUGCUAAACUUUCUGAGAAGCAAUACUAAAAUCUCUCUGCAGAUUUUUAGGUCCUUGUUGUUAUAGAAAGUAGCUCUCCAUAGCACAGCCGGUUUCUUUUCCCUGAACAGACUCACCAGGAUCGGGAUACAAAGAUCAUUAAGGACAACACUAUUAUUUACUAUUUCACAAUAGAUGCUAAACAGCCACUGAAAACCACAAAAGAAGACUAUAUGAUUCAUUUCCAAGGAAAGGAGUUCUCAGGGAAUGUUUUUUUCUGAGCUACAUGUAUGGAUUUGGACUGUCCAAAUCUGGGGAAAACAAGGCUACUGCUCAGAUGCUGAUAAAUUAUGGUGAUCUCUUCUUCUUGUGUUGCUCCUGGAGUUCAAAGAAUUGAUGCCUCAAAUAUUUGUACCACUACAGAAUAAAUUUAAAACACGUGCUAAAAUUCAUACUCCAUUGGAAAAAAAUCAGUGAUCAGCCCGUUUUUUGAAAUACAAAAUUUGUCUGAGGAGCCUGAAUGCAGUGAACUUGAAUAAUCAUCGCCAAGGGAGUGCAGAUAAUAAAAACAGAGACUUCCUUCCAAGGAAAGCCUUCCAGGCAAAAGGAAAGGGAAAGGGAGCAUGUUUAGGCACUUCUACAAAGGGCAUAGUGGACCAGGACACUGUGCUAUAUAUUAAAAAUUAUUUUGCAAGUUAAAAAAGACAUUUAUAUUACAAAUGAAUAUAUUACAACAAAUAUUUUCAAAUAUUCUAAUAUGACACCUGGAUAAACAGAUAAAUAUCCUCUAAAGAUGUGGUAGAAGCUCCAACACUGAUUCACCUAAGCCUGAAGCAAAAGGGUUCUGGAGAGGGUAUUUCUGAUGUUGAUCCCAGCUGUUUAGACACAGAUUUGAUGGUGUUCCCUAAGAGACCUGUUUUCUAGGAGAUCUGAGAUAAAUGUAUUCCAUGUUUCUUCUUUUGCUGGUACCACAUGAGGGGAGGGCUAGUCCACAGACUUGGCUCAGCUCAGAGGUCGGGCAGUAGAGGAGAGGUUUUUCUGCAGCUGCAAAAUGGUGUGAAUAAUGAGAAAUUAUUCUUUGGCAGUGGGACAAAACUUACGGUCAUAGGGAAGAAUGAUGAAAUCAUACCUCCAGCUGUGGCCAUCUUUUCCCCAUCAAAGCAGGAGAUCCAGCAGAAGAGCAAGGCCACACUGGUGUGCCUGGCCUCUGGUUUCUACCCUGACCACCUGACUCUGGUCUGGAAGGUGAAUGGUGUGAAAAGGACAGAAGGGGUGGGGACAGACGAGUCCUCCACAAAGAAUGGGAGCACCUACUCACUGACCAGCCGACUGAGGAUGCCAGCCUGGGAAUGGUUCAACCCUUUGAAUCGCUUCGAGUGUGUUGCCAGUUUUUUUCAGAAUGGAACAACGCAAUCAAUAAACAAAUUUAUCCAUGGUGAUGCUGGUUGUGCGCUCACAGAAGAGUCGUACUUGCGAUAUGGAAAUUCUCUGAAGCUCACUUACCUCAUCCUGUGUGGCAAAGCCUUGGUCUACGCUGUUUUGGUCAGUGGUCUGGUGUGGACAGCCAAGACUGGUGUCAAAUUAUCUAGAGAAUAAAUGAAGAGCCCUUGUCAUCACAUCAGCAGGAGCACAACAAGUUGUCUACCUUUCCCUAGCAAAGUAUCUGUGCUUUUACGAACUUGUGAAGAUUAUUUUUUUAUAAUUCUCUGUUGCCAUGCUGUUCUUCACUUUGUUGUAAUCAUUGCUGAGUUUCUCCUGUACUUCCAUAUCAAAAUGAAUCGUAUUUUAUUGUAAUGUGUCUUUAAGACUAGCACUUUCUUAAUGCUAUGAGGCUGAGAGCUCAUCUCUUUGAUUCAGGAAUAAAGUUUUUACUUCUUUUCUCCUGAAAAAGCAUGAUUUGUUGUUUUUAAAUUUGGUCUUCUGUCGUAAUAAUGUCCUACCACACAACUUUCAGUGAUAAAUAGUGCCAUAAGCAACUCUCAUUGAAGAUCAUUCACUAACAAUGCCUGUAGGAGUAACUUCUCUCUUAUGGGAACAGUAGGAACUCAUCCAGUGCUUACACCAUGUACCAACAAGUGGAGCAAGGCUGCAGGCUUUGGAGGCUUGCCCUCACCCGGAGCUGAUUUUGAGCCAAAAUACAUGCAUAAUUCAAAGGUGCUAGAGAAGGAAACAGCACUCUAGCCAGAUGAGAAGUGACAGUAUCUGGGGACAGGCCUGGGAGCUGCUUUUUCUUUCAUAUUCUUCCAUGGGGUUUUUCUUGGUGAUGACACCAGACUCACACUGGUAGCGAUGAAAAAUUUGGUGAAUAGAUUAAAAGUCCCCUGACGCUUAAUGUGUUUGUUUCAGAAGGAUCUGAUGACAACCUUGAGAGAAAUCUGUCAUAUCUCUUUUAAUGUCAUUAAAGGAAAAAGCUGUAUUUUAGUGUAGAGGACAGAUGGGCAUAAUACUGUAAAAUGGAGUAAUUUUUCCUGGUCUAUGCUUGUCACUCCUUUAAUCUCCUCAAAACACUUCAGAACAGGAGAAAAUAUCCUACUGUACUAAGAAAUUUAUUUUGCAUUCUGGGUACAGAAAUUGCUUAAGUAGUCUUGUGGCUGCUUCAAACAAAGUGGAGAACUGUUUACUGAAAAAUACUUUUUACAAUAGUACUUCAAGGGGUCUUACAUUCCUAAGAUGUGAACAAUCUGGUCUAGGGAAAGUUGACCCCUUCCUCUUUGGAGGGAAAACAAAAAAACCAGUUCCCAGCAGGUGGCAAUCAUUAGAAGGUUGUACAAAGAGGUGCAUUUCAGAGGGUUUGACAAAGAUAAACAAAGAGAG
Catharus ustulatus (Swainson's thrush) is the source of this 3358-nucleotide non-coding RNA. Lineage: Eukaryota; Metazoa; Chordata; Aves; Passeriformes; Turdidae. The record is from the annotation of a RefSeq genome assembly.